GCCGGAGUGGCGGAAUGGUAGACGCGCCGGACUCAAAAUCCGGUGACCGCAAGGUCGUGUGGGUUCGAGUCCCACCUCCGGUA
Molecule: transfer RNA, 83 nt
Filed under: Rubrobacteraceae bacterium
Lineage: Bacteria; Bacillati; Actinomycetota; Rubrobacteria; Rubrobacterales; Rubrobacteraceae
Also listed under: 2 other names
Description: tRNA-Leu
Rfam family: tRNA
About the family: Transfer RNA (tRNA) molecules are approximately 80 nucleotides in length. Their secondary structure includes four short double-helical elements and three loops (D, anti-codon, and T loops).
Source: RNAcentral